AUUGAACGCUGGCGGCAGGCCUAACACAUGCAAGUCGGACGAGCGUCGGACGGGUGCGUAAUGUCUGGGGAUCUGCCUGAUGGAGGGGGAUAACUACUGAAAACGGUAGCUAAUACCGCAUACCCUCAGAUGAACCCAUAUGGGAUUAGCUUGUUGGUAAGGUAACGGCUUACCUAGGCGACGAUCCCUAGCUGGUCUUAGAGGAUGAUCAGCCAAACGGGGCCUGAGACACGGCCCAGACUCCUACGUGAGGCAGAAGUGGGGAAUAGUGCACAAUGGGCGCAAGCCUGAUGCAGCUAUGCCGCGUGUAUGAAGAAGGCCUCCGGGUUGGAAAGUACUUUCAGUCGGGAGGCGUUACCGACAGAAGAAGCAACGGCUAACUCCGUGCCAGCAGCCGCGGUAAUUC
Molecule: ribosomal RNA, 406 nt
Filed under: uncultured bacterium
Lineage: Bacteria
Description: partial 16S ribosomal RNA
Rfam family: Bacterial small subunit ribosomal RNA
Source: RNAcentral